AGCAUUCUCUAUGACAGCUUUUCCUGCAUGCACAAGUAGACAAUAGAACAUACAUCACUAAUGCAAGUGGAGAGUCACAAUGACAUAAAGCAUAAUCUACGCAAAAUAAAGAAAUUUCAUUUUCCAUAACUUGGGAUAACAAGCUAAAUUUAUAUAGAUAUACCAUGGAAGAAAAAAAAAAAGAAUAAUCAGCAAUAACAGAAGAUACUGCAUAAAGCUUAGAAAAAAAGCUAGAGAAGAAUUAAGAAUGCUUA
RNAcentral lists this unclassified non-coding RNA (254 nucleotides) under Hevea brasiliensis (rubber tree). Lineage: Eukaryota; Viridiplantae; Streptophyta; Magnoliopsida; Malpighiales; Euphorbiaceae. The record is from RNAcentral.